This 2890-nucleotide ribosomal RNA is filed under the name Acinetobacter baumannii AB5075. RNAcentral describes it as "bacterial LSU rRNA". It matches the Rfam family "Bacterial large subunit ribosomal RNA". Lineage: Bacteria; Pseudomonadati; Pseudomonadota; Gammaproteobacteria; Moraxellales; Moraxellaceae. The record is from RNAcentral.
UCAAGUAAUUAAGUGCAUGUGGUGGAUGCCUUGGCAGUCAGAGGCGAUGAAAGACGUGAUAGCCUGCGAAAAGCUCCGGGGAGGCGGCAAAUAUCCUUUGAUCCGGAGAUGUCUGAAUGGGGGAACCCACCUACUUUAAGGUAGGUAUUGCAACAUGAAUACAUAGUGUUGCAAGACGAACGAGGGGAAGUGAAACAUCUCAGUACCCUUAGGAAAAGAAAUCAAUUGAGAUUCCCUCAGUAGCGGCGAGCGAACGGGGAUCAGCCCAUUAAGUUAUGUGUGUUUUAGUGGAACGCUCUGGGAAGUGCGAACGUAGAGGGUGAUAUUCCCGUACACGAAAGGGCACACAUAAUGAUGACGAGUAGGGCGAGGCACGUGAAACCUUGUCUGAAUAUGGGGGGACCAUCCUCCAAGGCUAAAUACUCCUGACUGACCGAUAGUGAACCAGUACCGUGAGGGAAAGGCGAAAAGAACCCCUGUGAGGGGAGUGAAAUAGAUCCUGAAACCGCAUGCAUACAAGCAGUGGGAGCACCUUCGUGGUGUGACUGCGUACCUUUUGUAUAAUGGGUCAGCGACUUAUAUUCAGUAGCGAGGUUAACCGUAUAGGGGAGCCGUAGAGAAAUCGAGUCUUAAUAGGGCGUUUAGUUGCUGGGUAUAGACCCGAAACCAGGCGAUCUAUCCAUGAGCAGGUUGAAGGUUGGGUAACACUAACUGGAGGACCGAACCCACUGUCGUUGAAAAGCCAGGGGAUGACUUGUGGAUAGGGGUGAAAGGCUAAUCAAGCCUGGUGAUAGCUGGUUCUCCCCGAAAGCUAUUUAGGUAGCGCCUCGGACGAAUACCAUAGGGGGUAGAGCACUGUUUCGGCUAGGGGGUCAUCCCGACUUACCAAACCGAUGCAAACUCCGAAUACCUAUGAGUACUAUCCGGGAGACAGACUGCGGGUGCUAACGUCCGUAGUCAAGAGGAAAACAUCCAGACCGCCAGCUAAGGCCCCAAAAUCAUAGUUAAGUGGGAAACGAUGUGGGAAGGCAUAGACAGCUAGGAGGUUGGCUUAGAAGCAGCCACCCUUUAAAGAAAGCGUAAUAGCUCACUAGUCGAGUCGGCCUGCGCGGAAGAUGUAACGGGGCUAAAACUAUGUGCCGAAGCUGCGGAUGUAUACUUUGUAUACGUGGUAGGGGAGCGUUCUGUAAGCCGAUGAAGGUGUGUUGAGAAGCAUGCUGGAGGUAUCAGAAGUGCGAAUGCUGACGUGAGUAACGACAAAACGGGUGAAAAACCCGUUCGCCGAAAGACCAAGGGUUCCAGUCCAACGUUAAUCGGGGCUGGGUGAGUCGACCCCUAAGGCGAGGCCGAAAGGCGUAGUCGAUGGGAAAAUGGUUAAUAUUCCAUUACUUCUGUGUAAUGCGAUGAGAGGACGGAGAAGGCUAAAUCAGCCUGGCGUUGGUUGUCCAGGUGAAAGGAUGUAGGCAUGUAUCUUAGGCAAAUCCGGGGUACUCUAUGCUGAGAUCUGAUAGCAAGCUGUACUUGUACAGCGAAGUGGUUGAUGCCAUGCUUCCAGGAAAAGUCUCUAAGCUUCAGUUACACAGGAAUCGUACCCGAAACCGACACAGGUGGUCAGGUCGAGUAGACCAAGGCGCUUGAGAGAACUCUGCUGAAGGAACUAGGCAAAAUGGUACCGUAACUUCGGGAGAAGGUACGCUGUUGUUGGUGAUGGAACUCGCUUCCUGAGCUGACGACAGCCGCAGAAACCAGGCCGCUGCAACUGUUUAUUAAAAACAUAGCACUCUGCAAACACGAAAGUGGACGUAUAGGGUGUGAUGCCUGCCCGGUGCUGGAAGGUUAAUUGAUGGGGUUAGCGUAAGCGAAGCUCUUGAUCGAAGCCCCAGUAAACGGCGGCCGUAACUAUAACGGUCCUAAGGUAGCGAAAUUCCUUGUCGGGUAAGUUCCGACCUGCACGAAUGGCAUAAUGAUGGCGGCGCUGUCUCCAGCAGAGGCUCAGUGAAAUCGAAAUCGCUGUGAAGAUGCAGUGUACCCGCGGCUAGACGGAAAGACCCCGUGAACCUUUACUGCAGCUUGACACUGAACUUUGACCUUACUUGUGUAGGAUAGGUGGGAGGCUUUGAAGCUGGAACGCUAGUUCCAGUGGAGCCGUCCUUGAAAUACCACCCUGGUAAUGUUGAGGUUCUAACUCUGUCCCGUGAUCCGGGACGAGGACCGUGUCUGGUGGGUAGUUUGACUGGGGCGGUCUCCUCCUAAAGAGUAACGGAGGAGUACGAAGGUGCGCUCAGCGUGGUCGGAAAUCACGCGUAGAGUAUAAAGGCAAAAGCGCGCUUAACUGCGAGACCCACAAGUCGAGCAGGUACGAAAGUAGGUCUUAGUGAUCCGGUGGUUCUGUAUGGAAGGGCCAUCGCUCAACGGAUAAAAGGUACUCUGGGGAUAACAGGCUGAUACCGCCCAAGAGUUCAUAUCGACGGCGGUGUUUGGCACCUCGAUGUCGGCUCAUCUCAUCCUGGGGCUGAAGCAGGUCCCAAGGGUAUGGCUGUUCGCCAUUUAAAGAGGUACGCGAGCUGGGUUUAGAACGUCGUGAGACAGUUCGGUCCCUAUCUACCGUGGGCGCUGGAAAUUUGAGAGGAUCUGCUCCUAGUACGAGAGGACCAGAGUGGACGAACCUCUGGUGUACCGGUUGUGACGCCAGUCGCAUCGCCGGGUAGCUAUGUUCGGAAGGGAUAACCGCUGAAAGCAUCUAAGCGGGAAGCCUACCUCAAGAUAAGAUUUCCCUAGGACUUUAUGUCCUCUAAAGAGCCGUUCGAGACUAGGACGUUGAUAGGUUGGAUGUGGAAGCAUAGUGAUAUGUGAAGCUGACCAAUACUAAUUGCUCGUGAGGCUUGACUAU